UUGCUAGAAGAUGACGAGCGGCGGACGGGUGAGUAAUGCUUGGGAAUAUGCCUUAGGGUGGGGGACAACAGUUGGAAACGACUGCUAAUACCGCAUAACGUCUACGGACCAAAGGGGGCUUCGGCUCUCGCCCUUAGAUUAGCCCAAGUGGGAUUAGCUAGUUGGUGAGGUAAUGGCUCACCAAGGCGACGAUCCCUAGCUGGUUUGAGAGGAUGAUCAGCCACACUGGAACUGAGACACGGUCCAGACUCCUACGGGAGGCAGCAGUGGGGAAUAUUGCACAAUGGGCGCAAGCCUGAUGCAGCCAUGCCGCGUGUGUGAAGAAGGCCUUAGGGUUGUAAAGCACUUUCAGUAAGGAGGAAAGGUUAGUAGUUAAUACCUGCUAGCUGUGACGUUACUUACAGAAGAAGCACCGGCUAACUCCGUGCCAGCAGCCGCGGUAAUACGGAGGGUGCGAGCGUUAAUCGGAAUUACUGGGCGUAAAGCGUACGCAGGCGGUUUGUUAAGCGAGAUGUGAAAGCCCCGGGCUCAACCUGGGAACUGCAUUUCGAACUGGC
RNAcentral lists this ribosomal RNA (557 nucleotides) under uncultured bacterium. Its description in RNAcentral is "bacterial SSU rRNA". It matches the Rfam family "Bacterial small subunit ribosomal RNA", at positions 77 to 637 of the family's 1533-position model. The record is from RNAcentral.